AAUCAGAUUCAGAGCCUGAACAUAACCAGCUCCACAGAAGACCCCUUGUGCUUCCAGUGAAUAAUCAUUAUUCCGCCUUCUAACAGGUGCUUCUGAGAUUCCUGAAGAAUCCGAUUCCUGAAGAACCUGAAGUUGAUGAUGAAGAGUUUGGUUGGGAAAUUGAGCAGACACCCUAUGAAGAGGUAUCAGAAAGUGCUUUGAAUCUGCAGUGCCACUAUGGAUUUGGAAACUUACGAUUAGGAGUAUUUUGGCGGUUACAGGUUCCACUUUGGGGGAACUUAUACAUGGCACCGUUCCUAUAAAAUGAGGAAAAUAGCUUUGAAGAUGAUGAUCUACUUCCAUCAUGAACAUUCUACCAAGCG
This is a non-coding RNA of Macaca mulatta (Rhesus monkey), 362 nucleotides long. The record is from RefSeq and is a predicted model, not a curated record. NCBI's taxonomy places the organism in Eukaryota, Metazoa, Chordata, Mammalia, Primates, Cercopithecidae.